AGUGAACGCUGGCGGCGUGCCUAAUACAUGCAAGUCGAACGGUAACAGGAAGUAGCUUGCUACUUUGCUGAUUAGUGGCGCACGGGUGAGUAAUGCAUAGGUCAUGUGCCCCAUAGUCUGGGAUAGCCACUGGAAACGGUGAUUAAUACUGGAUACUCCCGAGAGGGGAAAGUUUUUCGCUAUGGGAUCAGCCUAUGUCCUAUCAGCUUGUUGGUGAGGUAAUGGCUCACCAAGGCUAUGACGGGUAUCCGGCCUGAGAGGGUGAACGGACACACUGGAACUGAGACACGGUCCAGACUCCUACGGGAGGCAGCAGUAGGGAAUAUUGCUCAAUAGGGGAAACCCUGAAGCAGCAACGCCGCGUGGAGGAUGAAGGUCUUCGGAUUGUAAACUCCUUUUCUAAGAGAAGAUUAUGACGGUAUCUUAGGAAUAAGCACCGGCUAACUCCGUG
Molecule: ribosomal RNA, 451 nt
Filed under: uncultured bacterium
Lineage: Bacteria
Description: partial 16S ribosomal RNA
Rfam family: Bacterial small subunit ribosomal RNA
Source: RNAcentral